GACGAACGCUGGCGGCGUGCUUAACACAUGCAAGUCGAACGGUGAAGCGCCUUCCUUUUUGGUGGGUGUGGAUGAGUGGCGAACGGGUGAGUAACACGUGAGUAACCUGCCCCCUUCUUCUGGAUAACCGCAUGAAAGUGUGGCUAAUACGGGAUAUUCUGGGUCUGUCGCAUGAUGGGUCUGGGAAAGAUAUUGUUUCGGUGGGGGAUGGGCUCGCGGCCUAUCAGCUUGUUGGUGGGGUGAUGGCCUACCAAGGCGGUGACGGGUAGCCGGCCUGAGAGGGUGGACGGCCCCACGGGGGCUGAAACACGGCGCAGACUCCUACGGGAGGCAGCAGUGGGGAAUAUUGCACAAUGGGAGGAAGCCUGAUGCAGCGCCGCCGCGUGAGGGAUGGAGGCCUUCGGGUUGUGAACCUCUUUCGCCAGUGAAGCAGGCCUGCCUCGUUUGUGGGUGGGUUGACGGUAGCUGGAGAAGAAGCGCCGGCUAACUACGUG
RNAcentral lists this ribosomal RNA (494 nucleotides) under uncultured bacterium. RNAcentral describes it as "partial 16S ribosomal RNA". It matches the Rfam family "Bacterial small subunit ribosomal RNA", at positions 28 to 507 of the family's 1533-position model. The record is from RNAcentral.